Molecule: ribosomal RNA, 465 nt
Filed under: uncultured bacterium
Lineage: Bacteria
Description: partial 16S ribosomal RNA
Rfam family: Bacterial small subunit ribosomal RNA
Source: RNAcentral
GACGAACGCUGGCGGCGUGCUUAACACAUGCAAGUCGAACGGAAAGGCCCCUUUGGGGGUACUCGAGUGGCGAACGGGUGAGUAACACGUGAGUAACCUGCCCUUGACUUCGGGAUAACUUCAGGAAACUGGGGCUAAUACCGGAUAGGAAUCCUUGCUGCAUGGUGGGGGUUGGAAAGCUUCGGCGGUUUUGGAUGGACUCGCGGCUUAUCAGCUUGUUGGUGGGGUAGUGGCUUACCAAGGCUUUGACGGGUAGCCGGCCUGAGAGGGCGACCGGCCACAUUGGGACUGAGGGACGGCCCAGACUCCUAAGGGAGGCAGCAGUGGGGAAUAUUGAACAAUGGGCGGAAGCCUGAUGCAGCAACGCCGCGGGCGGGAUGACGGCCUUCGGGUUGUAAAACGCUUUCAGCAGGGGCGAAGCUUGUGGUGACGGUACCUGCAGAAGAAGCACCGGCUAACUACGUG